GAUUCAAAACUCAUUACCAGAUGUCGCCACUGUCGUUCUUGUUGUUCCUACGUCCCCAUGAAACGAUACGAAAUGGGCGAAACAAAUUAUUGCUAAUUAUACUUAUAUUCCUGUGAUUUCAAAUCCCAAAUUGAACUACGCAUCUUACAUACAUAGCUACUGUCAGUCAUCCCAACAAGUUGACUUAGCGCUCAAUCACUUUCCUUCCAUUGGAUCCUCAUGCUGUCAAAAGCCUAAAACUCAUGUUAGUGAAAAAAUGUGCGGAGAUAAAGUAUUUUCCCAUUACUGCUACCACACCAACCACACUACGUCAAAUGCCUUACUAAAUCAUCACCCAUAUGAUAAAGCAUCAGGAAAUUAAUCCCACCUGAGGAGUAAUGUGUUUGGCUGCUGUAAUUCCAUUAUUACAAUUUUUCAUCAUGAACAAUUCAGUGUGCUUCUUAGAAAAGAGCACUAAAGAUCCCCACGAACAUCCUUGAGUCAAUGCUGGAUUUGUCAAUGACAUAAGAGGGACUUCCACCAACGUUCUUCUCCAUCCUUAUCUUCAAGACCUACGCUCAUCCAGCUUCACUACUUCAGUGCUUCUUGUGCUGCUAGCCUGCUACACAACUUUUCUUGCUUCACUGGCGAGUUGGAUAACUUCAGUUGCUGUGACACACCUGUACACUCACUCACCACGGGAUUAUGGCCAGAGGAAACAUCGAGAAGAUGGACACCAAAACGCGCCGGUAUCUCUAAAAUGUCAUCGCGGAUCAUCAUGUGUUGUUGGUAAUAUGUUUGUGUCUGUGUUAGUUAACCCGUUGGCUACCACGCCUUUGUUCUCCCCUGC
Molecule: long non-coding RNA, 829 nt
Organism: Daphnia pulex (common water flea)
Lineage: Eukaryota; Metazoa; Arthropoda; Branchiopoda; Diplostraca; Daphniidae
Exons: 5
Source: RefSeq, a predicted model, not a curated record